CCUACGGGAGGCAGCAGUGGGGAAUAUUGCACAAUGGGCGCAAGCCUGAUGCAGCAACGCCGCGUGAGGGACGACGGCCUUCGGGUUGUAAACCUCUUUUAGUAGGGAAGAAGCGAAAGUGACGGUACCUGCAGAAAAAAGCACCGGCUAACUACGUGCCAGCAGCCGCGGUAAUACGUAGGGUGCAAGCGUUAUCCGGAAUUAUUGGGCGUAAAGAGCUCGUAGGCGGUUUGUCGCGUCUGCUGUGAAAACUGGAGGCUCAACCUCCAGCCUGCAGUGGGUACGGGCAGACUAGAGUGCGGUAGGGGAGAUUGGAAUUCCUGGUGUAGCGGUGGAAUGCGCAGAUAUCAGGAGGAACACCGAUGGCGAAGGCAGAUCUCUGGGCCGUAACUGACGCUGAGGAGCGAAAGCAUGGGGAGCGAACAGGAUUAGAUACCCUGGUAGUCCAUGCCGUAAACGUUGGGAACUAGAUGUAGGGACCAUUCCACGGUUUCUGUGUCGCNGCUACGACAUAGUUCCCGUCCGUCGGGNGGUACGGCCGCGACGGACGUAAACGUUAAAGGUAAAGUUAGUUACGGCGUGAGAGUGCCGACGGCGACGACGAGGGAGGUUAGG
This 615-nucleotide ribosomal RNA is filed under the name uncultured bacterium. RNAcentral's name for it is "bacterial SSU rRNA". The stretch from base 1 to 523 matches the Rfam family "Bacterial small subunit ribosomal RNA", at positions 338 to 873 of the family's 1533-position model. The record is from RNAcentral.